UAGGGAAUAUUGCGCAAUGAACGAAAGUUUGACGCAGCGACGCCGCGUGAGGGAUGAAGGUCUUCGGAUCGUAAACCUCUGUCAAGAGGGAAGAAGUGUGGCAGCUCUAAUAUAGCUGUUAUUUGACGGUACCUCUGAAGGAAGCACCGGCUAACUCCGUGCCAGCAGCCGCGGUAAUACGGAGGGUGCAAGCGUUAAUCGGAAUUACUGGGCGUAAAGCGCGCGUAGGCGGAACUUUAAGUCAGAAGUGAAAACCCCCGGCUUAACCGGGGAAUAGCUUUUGAUACUGAGAUUCUUGAGUUCAGGAGAGGGUGGCGGAAUUCCAGGUGUAGGAGUGAAAUCCGUAGAGAUCUGGAGGAACAUCAGUGGCGAAGGCGGCCACCUGGACUGAUACUGACGCUGAGGUGCGAAAGCGUGGGGAGCAAACA
This 428-nucleotide ribosomal RNA is filed under the name uncultured bacterium. Its description in RNAcentral is "bacterial SSU rRNA". It matches the Rfam family "Bacterial small subunit ribosomal RNA", at positions 355 to 774 of the family's 1533-position model. The record is from RNAcentral.